GAGGGGUUUGGUCCUCUGGGGCCUGACAACCCCCUCUGAUCGCCCUCACGUCCCAUAAGGAGGCAAAGGCCGGAUUUCCGAGGCCUGGGAGGAGUGCUCCAAGGCCCACCCAACUGUCAACACAGUUCCAUGCUGGUAGGUUCUGCAGCUCAGACCUAGGACUCCUGGAUCUCCACCCUACCCCAGCAGACCUCAGGCCCGGGCUCUGACACCUACCUAGUCCCAGGCUCUCUAGUGUCCACCUCCUGCAGGAGCUCCAGGCCCUGAAACCCAGCCUGUUUGCUUGGACUCCAGAGACCAGCAUCCUAUCAGCAUCUCUUUGCAUCAGGACUCAGCCCCUCAUCUGUCUACUUCUCCCCACCUAUGUGACACAGCACAAACUGCUCAUCCUGCCAGCCCAAGUGUGAACCUGCACCCAGGACAGAAAUGGCUCAUCAGACGCAGCACUGUUUCUCCCUGAACUAAGAUCCAUUUGCAAUAAAAUUCAGGCACCUACUGCCUGUUUAUGA
This 509-nucleotide long non-coding RNA is filed under the name Homo sapiens (human). RNAcentral's name for it is "HSALNT0363693". Lineage: Eukaryota; Metazoa; Chordata; Mammalia; Primates; Hominidae. The record is from RNAcentral.